Long non-coding RNA from Helianthus annuus (common sunflower), 697 nucleotides. RefSeq lists it as uncharacterized. Lineage: Eukaryota; Viridiplantae; Streptophyta; Magnoliopsida; Asterales; Asteraceae. The record is from RefSeq and is a predicted model, not a curated record. The transcript is spliced from 2 exons.
AAUUUCCCUCCAGUAAACUCUUCAAAAUUUCUAAUUUCCCUCCUGUAUCCCAAAAUUUUCCCCUACAUCCACUCAAAUCAGAUCUAAUUGUUCUCUAUCAAUUCUGAUCGAUAAAAAAUCUUUGCAUCACUAUCCCACCACCACACCACCUAUUGAGAAGGGCAGAAGGCCCUUCAUCCUCGUUCGGUAGCCCCUUCAAUAGCCUGUAUGGAUGUUAGGUUCAAGAGGAUUUAUUGCAAUAAGUUUGCUUUACUCGCAGACCAUGACUCAACAGAAGCUCUCACUUCUUUCCGGUGAACGCCAUGGAGGGCGCGGAUUUAGGGAGGUGAACGAAUUUGGUGUGGAGUGAAUACAUGUUUAGGGAUUAGUAGAUAAUACAUGAUAUUCAAAGUUCAAACAAAGCAUUAUCAGAGAUCUUCCUGUCCAGUAGGAUUGCUCCGCCCUUAGCGGUGUCUCUUCCAUAAGGAAAACUACUUCUACGGAAGGUACUGGACAAUCUCAGUUAAGUGCCAUCAUUAGAGAUUGUAUUGUGGCAUAUUUUUUGUAACGCCCCGCGUUUUCAUACUUUCAAUAUUUAGAAACCAUCGUUUGUAAAACUAUUUUUGGAAACUUUGUAUUCUUGUAAUCGUUCUUUCCUUGUAAUCAUUGUAAAUCCGAGACUUGGAUCAUAAAUAAAAUUCGUAUUUCUUUAAAUUCA